UCUGCCUUACAUAUCUCAUGGCCUGCCUAAUUCUUUUAAUGUCAACUAGAAUAUCGGCUACCAGCUUUUGUUAAAGUCUUUUAAAAAAGGCCCCUCACCAGGUGCUGUAGCAAAUUUUGGUCAUAUGCUGGAAGCUGUUAGAUGGCCUCUAGGGAACAUUCUACCGCUACAAUUUUUCAAAUUGGUUUGUUAACAGCAGAGAUAGAAACAUUUAAACAGUCACGAACUCAUGAUUCCAGAAGGCGAGCUUCGCUGCCAACAUACACUCUCUCCACUUGCCCCCGUCUAGCCUCUGCAAGCGAAAUUCCUUCCCUGCGUUCUCCCAUACCGGAGCCAGAGAAGUGCGUAAUGAAUAUGUCACGGGCCCCGCCUUCCUUUUUUCUCUCUCUCUCUUGCACGUUUUUGCUGUGUGGUGCACUUCCGGUGACGGUCUAAUGCGCAAACUGCUGCGUUUGUCUAAUUUUGCAGGCUGUGCAUGCAAACGUCUGACUAGUGGUGUGAUAAGCCAGUGCUAGAUGAGCACUAAGGCAGAUGCAAGCCUAUAAAAGAACACGAUCAUGCACAGAAACCUGUUAGAAGGUGGCAGAUAGUUUCGCUUUCUGCGCACAUGGCUGCACGACGUGGGAAGCAGACGAAGCAGAAGUAUGUCCCUUUUGCUAUGGCACGUAGUAAAACGAGAGUUGCAGAUAUUCAGUGUGUAGGUUUUAUUAAUUCUCUAUAUAUUGUCUAAUGAAGCAACCGAUAAAACAGAUAACUGCUAUAGCCUUGAAUAAUUCUCAAAGUCACAUGCUUAACGGUGAGUGACGUUUCAGCAAUGCGAAUUAUCUAGGCGCACUUAUGCGUCUGACCUCGACAAUCCGGCUUACAGUGCCGCUCCCUUGAGAAGGCCACACGACGUUUGGUUUGAAAUUUCGGUUUUCAUGGUGCACAGCAGUGCAAUACUUUGUCAGUGUGCAUUGUGUACAGUGCUCUUGUCUGUUAAAAAUGGCCACACCUGGUUAGAAGCCCUUCAACAUUAUGCCCCACACUUUCUGUUCCAUCGCUCAUUGCACUGCUCUUAACUACUUCUCAAACUCCUCGAGUGUAGUGUUUGAGCCAUGGCUUGCAGGGCUGCACAGUAACGUCACCGGCCGCUGUGUUGCAGCCCAUACAGGCACAGCGAGUUUUUGUACAGUGUACCGUCACAACAUUGUCGUCACGUGUGACAACAAACACAUCUGAGUGUCACUGUUCUCACAGCAUGCUGAAUCUUCUCUUCUUGCUCUUGUAUUAUAUUUCGCUUUGCAAUCGUUUUAUGUGGCCUUCCGUCCUUUCUGUUUUUGUUAUUAUUUCAAUGGAUGACUGUGCCUUACGAGUGUUUUCUUGCUCAUUGUUUAGGGCAGUCCUUCAGACCUGAGUUCAGUCUAGGACUUUGGCUACACCAGUCCUGUGUCAGUUGUUCAUAUGCCUAGGGAUACUUGUUGCAAUCAGUCAGCUCAGUGCUGCAGACAUCCUCAUUAAGUAGCUUUCACUUGGCAGCAGAGACUGUAUUUAUGCAGCAAGACCCCGUUAACUCGAAGUUGUAGAAAUCGGUGAAAACUUUGAAGUAAGCAGAGUUUUGAGAUAAGGUAAUUUACAAAAAUACUAUAAGCACCUGACCACACCACAAGACCACGUAGAGCCUUUCGAAAUAGGCGCCAGUAGCCACUAAAUUCCUUGCAAAAGCUCAAUACACCAGGAGCGGUAUUUUCGGUAGAUGACCUUUGCCAAAUAACACGCGCGAGAUAUCAUUUUUUGUUAGAUAUUUCGCACGGUUUGUGGUGUCGUGCUGACCCUGCAAUCUCUGUACAAUCGUUUAGCAGCAACGCUAAUGCAUUUGUGCUCGACACUCAUGAUGGCAGUGGCAAGAUUGCUUCCCUCGCUCCACUUGCAAAUUCAAUUGAGCGAAGCGCGUCUGCUUGGAUUCUUGGUCAUUUUGCAGCCGAGCUGAUAGUGCGUCGCUUGUGGUUAUUUGCGGUUAAGACGCGGUUAUCGAAUGCGAGGUCUACACUUACCUGCAGCGUCUCAGCGCGUGAAAUCUGAGCAGAGCGAAACGUAAGGGGCCUUCAGCUAAAACUGUCUAUUAUCAAUGAGAUCGCAGCCGGCUCUGAACAGCCGGCAGCUGUUAAGAGCAGUGCAGAAUCAAGUGGAAUUUGCUACAAACUUUCUCGCGGUCCUGUCGCUUUUUUCCGAUAUCACAGCAGUGCACAAAGUAUGGAAGCCUUUGCAUAGCAACUUUUUCCGCAAUGUUUUCUCGGUGAAGAUUUCGAGUUAUUCAGAGUGUGGCUCAAAAGCAUUUUGAGAUGAUCGGUGAAAAAUACAUUGAGUUCGCAUAAAGCCAGGAAAAAAAAAUUAUUGACUUAACUGAUAUUUCAAGAUAUAAAAGUUCAGUUAAUGAGGGCUUACUGCACACUUGAACCAUGUUUUAGUGAACACAAAUAUAAGAAAUUACUGGAUACAAUGAAGGGAAUCUAAAAUUUGUCUCUAUUUCAGUGAGUAUUCUACUGCUAGAAUGAAAACAAAAAUCAGAUCAAACACAGUGUUGGUUUUAACAAAGCAAAUGUUUGUUUGCACGUGACUCAAUAUGUGUGUAUUCUGGUAGGAAAAAUCUCCCUCUCCAAGAGCAAAAUGAAACAGUACAACCUGGAUGCAUGCGAGUCUCUUGGCUAGCAAGUUCCGUGCGAUCACCACAAUCGCAUAAUUGUGCAUUAAGGAUGGUGCCAAGCGGGUGUCUAACUGGGUGCGUUUUUCUGUGCCUCAUAUUAGCACAAUCCACCGAAAGGCCACCAAAAUUGACAGAAGAUCCUUUGCUAGCUUGCAAGAGGCAUCAUAUUCACACACAACCUAUUGCAAGAUUCUUCCUGCCGAUAUCAGCAUGUGUGCUUAAUGUGUAUCUGAUAUGACAAAGGUCUUUUUCAUGUAGAAUGUGGUUUUGUUAUAACUAGGUUAGACUGUAUCGAGAAACCUUCUGUGGAACACUUGAAUGCCCACUUGUGUUUCAUAGGUGCUCAAAGCUUAUUCAUGUUUGGUUUUAACGCGACAGCAUUAAGAAGCUCAUGUCGCAGAAAAGCCGGUGUCGUCGGCCGUAAGCGAAAAAUCCCAGAAGGCAAUUCAUAAAUAAAAACAACUUGCAAGAAGGGCUCGGUGGGAAUCGAACCAGGGUCUCCGGAGUGUGAGACGGAGACGCUACCACUCAGCCACGAGUUCGAUGCUUUAAAGCGGUACAAAAGCGCCUCUAGUGAAUGCAGUGUUGCCAUAGAAAUGAGCCGUAGAAAGUUAUACUGCGGUAUAUAUCGGUAAUUAUGAACAUGUAACUUACAGAAGUCGCAGUUACACGAGUAGCGAAGUGCGUUUCUGCUACAUUUCUUCAGCGCUUUCCGCACACGCAGAGCCAUCUUGCGGCAAACACAGAAGACCCCCUCCUCUCAAUGUACGGCGCUGCCCCGACAGGUGGCGCGCCACUCGCGCAUUGGGGUUUUGCGGGGACAGGUGCGAGGUGCGUCGCGUCCCGGACUCCUCUCCCCUGACGACGUUUCUCCUUGCUCCCUCACGGGUUGCAGAAUCAAGCGUCCUUCCAUUCUUUAGAUCACUAUCUGUCUUAUCUCUCUGCCCGUGCCGAUCACGAUGUUUGGCUGGCGUGCAUCGUUUCCCCGGGGCUCCGAGACACCGAGUUCUUUGGUUCGUUCCGCUUGCUCAGGCGCACGUUUCAUUGCCGUGCCGAACAAUGCGGGGCGCCUCGCAAGUGAUCGCUGCGCUGUAGCACAUUGUCUUACACCCCUUGGCGUGUCGACGGGAACGCUGUUGCGUUCCACUUUUGAAGGCGAAGCUUAAGCGUCCUCUAAUUUUUGUUAGCAUUGCUGCCUUUCAGUGCAAAUCAUGCCAUCCUGCACACAUGUUGAGCUGGAAGAUGCAUGUUUGGAUAUUACCUUUGCAUUUCUUUGUGAAUCCAUAUGUCGGUGCAGUGAGCUGCAUCAAACUCGCCAGAGCUGAUGCAGCUGAUGAUGGCUUUGAAUCUUUUUACACAUUUCUUGCAAGACCUACUUACCAUACGCAUGUGUGUUUGUACUCCUGGACACAUCUCACAUGGAAAGUUUGCAUGGACUGGCAAGUUCGAAAUGGCUUGCCGCAUGGUCCAACCAGGCUCUUUUUCCAUUAAUGUUCAAAAGCUUGGUCAUACACUGGCUAUCUAGCGCGCACUCGAGAUGGAAACCAGAAAACCAUGUGCAAGGUGGGAAGUUUAGAGGGCAUGUGUAGGCUGUGAUAAGUGUGGUAUGCAGGGAUGACUAAGAUUUUCUGAAACUGUGUGUCUUGCAUGGCUCCGAUGUACAAUUUUGUGAGCCAUCAGAUCAUGCAUGGCACCACUGCUUUAGAAGAAAUGCUGAUUGUCAGCGGGCUUGGAUUUUUCGGUUUGGCGAGGCUCGAGUGACUGUGAUAGAUUUUAAGUGAUCUGAAGUGAGGUGUUCGAUGAAACUUGCCUCUGGUAAUCAUAGUCAACGGUAAAACAUUGUGAAUAAGGCUCAUGUACAAGUGCCGAAAUGUCUUGUUAUUGUUUACGGUCGGUGUUCGUUUUACUUUUGACUAUGAUUGACAGCGGUUGAACAAUGGAUGUCGCAGGAGGCAACUUCUCCAGCGAAGCUGUUAAGGGGAGUUCCGCAGCAGUUUUCGUGUGGUGGUGAAUGCUGGUGUACGAUGGCGGUGUCGAUAUCAAACGUAAAUGCAAUGCAAGGAGUGUCAGGGCCCUAAAUUUUCUUUGAAACAUAAUGAUGAAAUGAUUAUGAAAUAAAAGUUACCUCGCUAUGCGUCAUUCGAAUAGCCAACUUAUAUGCGAAUUUUUUUUAAGACCAGUAAUCCGUCAUUUUUGCUUCUCUUGUCGCAUUAUGCCAGCCUCACAUUGGAGGUCAGCUAGGAGCUUGCACGGCUGUAGCCGUGAAGGCUGAAGUUGUGGUGCUGCAACACAGCCUAUGUGGGAGCUGUUACCAAGAACAGCCAGCCACGACUUAUGCUUCAAUGCUAGCGAGGUCAUGAGCCAGCAAAAAGACCCAUAGUACUUCCCAAGGGUGCGCGAAGUCGCUUAUUGAGCUAUGCUGCCUCGGAUGUAUCAGUUGUCAGACUGGCAUGCAUCUGUGAAUAACUUUUUGCGACGAGGGCAUUCCAUUUUGUCAGUCGACUAGACGAAGGCAAGUGUCCUUGUCAAUAUGUUGGCUACAGCGACAUCCCUAGUUUGACAGUUGUUGAUCUCUUCAAAUCACAAUCUUCUUGUGAUCCUCUGUCCUGUAAUGGAUUUUGCAUUGUCGGUACAAGUUCUGCUUUUGAACUUUUAGAGGCAGGUUACCUGCACUUUGGUGUAGUGUUUGUUUACGGCAAAAGUGUGUGUAGUGAAGUAUAAUGAGAAAGUGGCAAAACGUUGGGAGAAAUGCUUUUAUGCUUGCCAUGAUGCUUAUUUUUUAAACCUUUAGCAACUUCCACAGUUGUAAGUAUGAGCACUGGCACUGCGCUUGACUUUCCAUGAAGGGCAUGCUCCCAUGGACUACAAAUUUGCCUGCAGCCUAGUUUGUUCUAGAAGAUGGCUGUUAAGGGUUUGUUACACAGUUUUUUGGUUCCCUGUCCAUGUUUAGCCAGUGAUAGCAAGUAGGGUGCCUUUGGCAGUGGCCCAAUGUUUUACCUGCCGGAGCGCACAGGAUGAAGAGAUUCUAGAUUACACAUGUGUGCUGCCUGCGAGUUGCUUUGCCAAAAUUUUCACACUUGAAGCUGUUGUAAGUAUCGAACACAUUUUGAUAGAACCAUGCAGAAAGGCACAGGGAAAAAAAGAAAUGGUUGCAGCCUGGCUAUAAUAGACACUGCAGUCAAGUGGGGGCUCCAGAUUAAUUUGGACCAUCUGCGAUUUUAAUGUUCACUGAAUGCUCACUGUAACAAGUGCUUCCAGUCUGCUGCCGCUGCUGGGAAUUCAACCCACGACCUAGUUCUAGCAGACUGUGCUGUAUUAUAAUUUGUGCUGCUGUCCUGUAUAUUUCAUGUGGUGGCUUGUGGCAUAUUAGUACGUGGUGCCAGUGCAUGUAAACAAUGCACAUAGGUGGGAUACAAAAAUGCUGGCAAGAAGAGCCACAUGUAGCUACAUGCUACAUGUAGUGCUAGUUAAAUGUUGUGAAAAAUGUUACAUUUUUACAUGAUGAAUUUUUGAUGUAUCUCAAGUGGUGCAACUAUGCAACAAACAAUUUAUUUAAUAAACGAAAAGAAAGGGGGUUAAUCGAGGGGCCCAAUUUUUAUUAAUUAUCAUAAGAAGCCAACAAGCACUGAUGCCAAGGACAACGCACGCGAAAUGCGAAGGUUGUGGGGUCGUUCCUUACCUGCAUUCCCCAUCCACUUUCAUUUGCAUUAAUUUAUCGUUUCUUUAUUGUGUUUAUUAAACACAAGUAAUUUCCCCUAUGUUGUCCUUGGCUUCUUAUAAUAUGACUAAUAAAAAUCGAGCCCCUCGGUUAACCCCCUUUCUUCUCGUUUAUUACAUAACGAGGGUCUCAAAUCCGGCAACGUUGAUGCCUUGAGGUAGCAUGUGUGGGUUUAUUGACCGGUUUGCCUUCACCCAGAAAGAUAACAUUCUCAUGAUGACUGCGGCAAAAAGGACGUUCCACAUCCGCCCCCAAGGUCUGUGUAGUUAGCCAGCGCCCCCAAGGUGGCGCUGGCUAACACUCCCAUGGUUCUACUAGGAAACAUAAAUGCCCAAGAAAGCGGAUGGGGAAACGGCGCCACGGUAGCUCGAUUGGUAGAGCAUCGCACGCGAAAUGCGAAGGUUGUGGGAUCAUCCCCCACCUGCGGCAAGUUGUUUUUUCAUCCACUUUCAUUUGCAUUAAUUUAUCGUUUCCUUAUUGCAUUUAUUAAAGACAAUUUCCCCUAUGUUGUCCUUGGCAUCAGUGCUUGUUGGCUUCUCAUGAUAAAACAAUUUAUUUGUCACUUAUGUUACAGACGAUCCCUACGAAAGAAUAAGGGGAACUGAGGGCCGGAUUUCUUGUUUGUUACAAUCACCUUGUCAAAAGACAAUGAAGCCAGCAAAAGCAUAGGGUUUUGCUGGCUUCAUUGUCUUUUGACUUCGUGCAGUUAGCAAAGACCCCUGUGCCUUAAUACCUAGUGACUGUAGGGUAUUAAAAAUUAUGGUGCUGUUCCCUUAGAUGGUGCCUGUUACUUGGCAGCAUUGCUUAACGGUGAGUAUUAGUUCUAGAGCGAUAGCUUAAGCAGCUGAAAAUGGCCUAACAUUUCCGAGAGUUCUGCACGAGUCUUGAUCAAAGAGCAAAAUCUCAACUGAUGUAGGUACUUUUAUUCAUAUUUUAAUUGCCUGUAAAACGCAGUGGGCACAUGCAAUUUCUGGCCUCGAGAUCAUU
Dermacentor andersoni is the source of this 7388-nucleotide long non-coding RNA. RefSeq lists it as uncharacterized. The record is from RefSeq and is a predicted model, not a curated record. Lineage: Eukaryota; Metazoa; Arthropoda; Arachnida; Ixodida; Ixodidae.